CCCUUAGAUGCUCUGGGCCGCACGCGCGCUACACUGGUCGAUGCAACGAGUUUCUUUCCUUGGCCGACAGGCCUGGGCAAUCUUUGAACAUCGAUCGUGAUCGGGAUAGAUUCUUGUAAUUUUUGAUCUUAAACGAGGAAUUCCUAGUAAACGCAAGUCAUCAGCUUGCAUUGAUUACGUCCCUGCCCUUUGUACACACCGCCCGUCGCACCUACCGAUUGAAUGGUCCGGUGAAGCCUCCGGAUUGGCGUGCACCCUCGGGUGCUGCCGAGAAGUUGGCUAAACCUUACCAUUUAGAGGAAGGUGAAGUCGUAACA
This 317-nucleotide ribosomal RNA is filed under the name uncultured eukaryote. RNAcentral's name for it is "partial 18S ribosomal RNA". It matches the Rfam family "Eukaryotic small subunit ribosomal RNA", at positions 1470 to 1796 of the family's 1831-position model. The record is from RNAcentral.